AGUGGCGAACGGGUGAGGAAUACAUCGGAACGUGUCUAUAAGUGGGGGAUAACGCAUCGAAAGGUGUGCUAAUACCGCAUAAUCUCUCAGGAGAAAAGCAGGGGAUCGCAAGACCUUGCGCUUUAGGAGCGGCCGAUGCCUGAUUAGCUUGUUGGUAAGGUAAAAGCUUACCAAGGCUUCGAUCAGUAGCUGGUCUGAGAGGACGACCAGCCACACUGGGACUGAGACACGGCCCAGACUCCUACGGGAGGCAGCAGUGGGGAAUUUUGGACAAUGGGGGAAACCCUGAUCCAGCCAUGCCGCGUGAGUGAAGAAGGCCUUCGGGUUGUAAAGCUCUUUCAGCCGGAACGAAACGGUUACGAUUAAUACUCGUAAUUAAUGACGGUACCGGCAGAAGAAGCACCGGCUAACUACGUGCCAGCAGCCGCGGUAAUACGUAGGGUGCGAGCGUUAAUCGGAAUUACUGGGCGUAAAGGGUCCGCAGGUUGUUUUGUAAGUCAGAUGUGAAAGCCCCGGGCUUAACCUGGGAACUGCGUCUGAAACUACAAGGCUAGAGUAUGGCAGAGGGGGGUGGAAUUCCGCGUGUAGCAGUGAAAUGCGUAGAUAUGUGGAAGGACAACGAUGGCGACGCAGCCUCCUGGGUCCAUACUGACGCUGAGGGACGAAAGCAUGGGGAGCCACCAGAAUAGAAUACCCUGGUAGUCCAUGUCG
RNAcentral lists this ribosomal RNA (711 nucleotides) under uncultured bacterium. Its description in RNAcentral is "bacterial SSU rRNA". It matches the Rfam family "Bacterial small subunit ribosomal RNA", at positions 94 to 802 of the family's 1533-position model. The record is from RNAcentral.